UUGAACGCUGGCGGCAUGCUUUACCCAUGCAAGUCGAACGGUAACAGGCCUUCGGGUGCUGACGAGUGGCGAACGGGUGAGUAAUGCAUCGGAACGUGCCCAGAGGUGGGGGAUAACGCAGCGAAAGCUGUGCUAAUACCGCAUGUGAUCUGAGGAUGAAAGCGGGGGACCAAGCAGCAAUGUUUGGCCUCGCGCCUCUGGAGCGGCCGAUGUCAGAUUAGGUAGUUGGUGGGGUAAAGGCCUACCAAGCCGACGAUCUGUAGCUGGUCUGAGAGGACGACCAGCCACACUGGGACUGAGACACGGCCCAGACUCCUACGGGAGGCAGCAGUGGGGAAUUUUGGACAAUGGGCGCAAGCCUGAUCCAGCAAUGCCGCGUGCGGGAAGAAGGCCUUCGGGUUGUAAACCGCUUUUGUACGGAACGAAAAGGAUCUGGCUAAUACCUGGGGCUGAUGACGGUACCGUAAGAAUAAGCACCGGCUAACUACGUG
This 491-nucleotide ribosomal RNA is filed under the name uncultured bacterium. RNAcentral's name for it is "partial 16S ribosomal RNA". It matches the Rfam family "Bacterial small subunit ribosomal RNA", at positions 30 to 507 of the family's 1533-position model. The record is from RNAcentral.